Molecule: long non-coding RNA, 170 nt
Organism: Thalassophryne amazonica
Lineage: Eukaryota; Metazoa; Chordata; Actinopteri; Batrachoidiformes; Batrachoididae
Exons: 4
Source: RefSeq, a predicted model, not a curated record
AAAAUUAAUUUCUUCUAUGAGAUGAUGAAUCCGCCUAUAGAGAGGAGGUGCAGCGGUUGUUGGUCUGGUGUAGGGAGAACAAUUUGAUCCUCAACACCUCAAAGACAAAGGAGAUGGUGGUGGACUAUAGAAGGAGGAAAACAGUCAUGCAGUCACUGGUCAUCGAUGGG